Molecule: ribosomal RNA, 497 nt
Filed under: uncultured bacterium
Lineage: Bacteria
Description: partial 16S ribosomal RNA
Rfam family: Bacterial small subunit ribosomal RNA
Source: RNAcentral
GAUGAACGCUGGCGGCGUGCCUAAUACAUGCAAGUCGAGCGAACAGACGAGGAGCUUGCUCCUCUGACGUUAGCGGCGGACGGGUGAGUAACACGUGGAUAACCUACCUAUAAGACUGGGAUAACUUCGGGAAACCGGAGCUAAUACCGGAUAAUAUAUUGAACCGCAUGGUUCAAUAGUGAAAGGCGGUUUUGCUGUCACUUAUAGAUGGAUCCGCGCCGCAUUAGCUAGUUGGUAAGGUAACGGCUUACCAAGGCAACGAUGCGUAGCCGACCUGAGAGGGUGAUCGGCCACACUGGAACUGAGACACGGUCCAGACUCCUACGGGAGGCAGCAGUAGGGAAUCUUCGGCAAUGGGCGAAAGCCUGACGGAGCAACGCCGCGUGAGUGAUGAAGGUCUUCGGAUCGUAAAACUCUGUUAUUGGGGAAGAACAAAUGUGUAAGUAACUAUGCACGUCUUGACGGUACCUAAUCAGAAAGCCACGGCUAACUACGUG